GUCCGACCUCCACCCUUUGUGAACACAUCUUGUUGCUUCGGGGGCGACCCUGCCGUCCGCGGCAUUCCCCCCGGAGGUCAUCAAAACACUGCAUUCUUACGUCGGAGUAAAAAGUUAAUUUAAUAAAACUUUCAACAACGGAUCUCUUGGUUCUGGCAUCGAUGAAGAACGCAGCGAAAUGCGAUAAGUAAUGUGAAUUGCAGAAUUCAGUGAAUCAUCGAAUCUUUGAACGCACAUUGCGCCCCCUGGUAUUCCGGGGGGCAUGCCUGUUCGAGCGUCAUUUCACCACUCAAGCCUCGCUUGGUAUUGGGCGUCGCGAGUCUCUCGCGCGCCUCAAAGUCUCUGGCUGUCUGACCCGUCUCCCAGCGUUGUGGCAACUAUUUCGCAGUGGAGUUCGUGUCGGUGCGGCCGUUAAAUCUUUCAAAGGUUGACCUCGGAUCAGGUAGGGAUACCCGCUGAACUUAAGCAUAUCAAUAAGCGGAGGAAAAGAAACCGACAGGGAUUGCCCUAGUAACGGCGAGUGAAGCGGCAACAGCUCAAAUUUGAAAUCUGGCGCAAGCCCGAGUUGUAAUUUGUAGAGGAUGCUUCUAGGUAGCGACCGGUCUAAGUUCCUUGGAACAGGACGUCAUAGAGGGUGAGAAUCCCGUAUGUGACCGGCCCGCACCUUCUACGUAGCUCCUUCGACGAGUCGAGUUGUUUGGGAAUGCAGCUCUAAAUGGGAGGUAAAUUUCUUCUAAAGCUAAAUACCGGCCAGAGACCGAUAGCGCACAAGUAGAGUGAUCGAAAGAUGAAAAGCACUUUGGAAAGAGAGUUAAAAAGCACGUGAAAUUGUUG
RNAcentral lists this ribosomal RNA (834 nucleotides) under uncultured fungus. RNAcentral describes it as "eukaryotic LSU rRNA". The stretch from base 429 to 834 matches the Rfam family "Eukaryotic large subunit ribosomal RNA", at positions 1 to 410 of the family's 3401-position model. The record is from RNAcentral. Lineage: Eukaryota; Fungi.